RNAcentral lists this non-coding RNA (29 nucleotides) under Rattus norvegicus (Norway rat). The record is from RNAcentral. Lineage: Eukaryota; Metazoa; Chordata; Mammalia; Rodentia; Muridae.
UAAGUGAUUCUAGAUUGUGUCAAAUUGGC